UCUAGCGAGACUGCCACCGUAAGGUGUGAGGAAGGUGGGGAUGACGGUCAAAUCAGCACGGCCCUUAUGUCCAGGGCUACACACGUGUUACAAUGGCCGAUACAAAGGGCAGCUACCAGGUGACUGGAUGCUAAUCUCCAAAGUCGGUCUCAGUUCGGAUCGAAGUCUGCAACCCGACUUCGUGAAGCUGGAUUCGCUAGUAAUCGCAUAUCAGCCAUGAUGCGGUGAAUACGUUCCCGGGCCUU
RNAcentral lists this ribosomal RNA (245 nucleotides) under uncultured Sphingobacteriales bacterium. RNAcentral describes it as "partial 16S ribosomal RNA". It matches the Rfam family "Bacterial small subunit ribosomal RNA", at positions 1139 to 1382 of the family's 1533-position model. The record is from RNAcentral. Lineage: Bacteria; Pseudomonadati; Bacteroidota; Sphingobacteriia; Sphingobacteriales.